AGGGCAAAACUGGUGAAAGCCAGUGACGCAAAGCUAUAGGGCCUGUAAAAUGGCAGCCAGUUGCA
This 65-nucleotide non-coding RNA is filed under the name uncultured Faecousia sp. RNAcentral's name for it is "Cyclic di-GMP-I riboswitch". It matches the Rfam family "c-di-GMP-I riboswitch aptamer", at positions 9 to 84 of the family's 87-position model. From Rfam's summary of the family: GEMM was predicted in a large-scale screen for bacterial structured RNA regulatory elements. Genes associated with GEMM are involved in a diverse array of functions, including chemotaxis regulation, signal transduction, secretion and chitin. The record is from RNAcentral. Lineage: Bacteria; Bacillati; Bacillota; Clostridia; Eubacteriales; Oscillospiraceae.